RNAcentral lists this ribosomal RNA (468 nucleotides) under uncultured bacterium. RNAcentral's name for it is "partial 16S ribosomal RNA". It matches the Rfam family "Bacterial small subunit ribosomal RNA", at positions 28 to 507 of the family's 1533-position model. The record is from RNAcentral.
GACGAACGCUGGCGGCGUGCUUAACACAUGCAAGUCGAACGGAAGGGCCCUGCUUUUGUGGGGUGCUCGAGUGGCGAACGGGUGAGUAACGCGUGGGUAACCUGCCCUUGACUUUGGGAUAACUUCAGGAAACUGGGGCUAAUACCGGAUAGGAGCUCCUGCUGCAUGGUGGGGGUUGGAAAGUUUCGGCGGUUGGGGAUGGACUCGCGGCUUAUCAGCUUGUUGGUGGGGUAGUGGCUUACCAAGGCUUUGACGGGUAGCCGGCCUGAGAGGGUGACCGGCCACAUUGGGACUGAGAUACGGCCCAGACUCCUACGGGAGGCAGCAGUGGGGAAUAUGGCACAAUGGGCGGAAGCCUGAUGCAGCAACGCCGCGUGCGGGAUAACGGCCUUCGGGUUGUAAACCGCUUUCGCCUGUGACGAAGCGUGAGUGACGGUAAUGGGUAAAGAAGCACCGGCUAACUACGUG